This 1551-nucleotide ribosomal RNA is filed under the name Klebsiella pneumoniae. Its description in RNAcentral is "bacterial SSU rRNA". It matches the Rfam family "Bacterial small subunit ribosomal RNA". The record is from RNAcentral. Lineage: Bacteria; Pseudomonadati; Pseudomonadota; Gammaproteobacteria; Enterobacterales; Enterobacteriaceae.
AAAUUGAAGAGUUUGAUCAUGGCUCAGAUUGAACGCUGGCGGCAGGCCUAACACAUGCAAGUCGAGCGGUAGCACAGAGAGCUUGCUCUCGGGUGACGAGCGGCGGACGGGUGAGUAAUGUCUGGGAAACUGCCUGAUGGAGGGGGAUAACUACUGGAAACGGUAGCUAAUACCGCAUAACGUCGCAAGACCAAAGUGGGGGACCUUCGGGCCUCAUGCCAUCAGAUGUGCCCAGAUGGGAUUAGCUAGUAGGUGGGGUAAUGGCUCACCUAGGCGACGAUCCCUAGCUGGUCUGAGAGGAUGACCAGCCACACUGGAACUGAGACACGGUCCAGACUCCUACGGGAGGCAGCAGUGGGGAAUAUUGCACAAUGGGCGCAAGCCUGAUGCAGCCAUGCCGCGUGUGUGAAGAAGGCCUUCGGGUUGUAAAGCACUUUCAGCGGGGAGGAAGGCGAUAAGGUUAAUAACCUUGUCGAUUGACGUUACCCGCAGAAGAAGCACCGGCUAACUCCGUGCCAGCAGCCGCGGUAAUACGGAGGGUGCAAGCGUUAAUCGGAAUUACUGGGCGUAAAGCGCACGCAGGCGGUCUGUCAAGUCGGAUGUGAAAUCCCCGGGCUCAACCUGGGAACUGCAUUCGAAACUGGCAGGCUAGAGUCUUGUAGAGGGGGGUAGAAUUCCAGGUGUAGCGGUGAAAUGCGUAGAGAUCUGGAGGAAUACCGGUGGCGAAGGCGGCCCCCUGGACAAAGACUGACGCUCAGGUGCGAAAGCGUGGGGAGCAAACAGGAUUAGAUACCCUCGGUAGUCCACGCCGUAAACGAUGUCGAUUUGGAGGUUGUGCCCUUGAGGCGUGGCUUCCGGAGCUAACGCGUUAAAUCGACCGCCUGGGGAGUACGGCCGCAAGGUUAAAACUCAAAUGAAUUGACGGGGGCCCGCACAAGCGGUGGAGCAUGUGGUUUAAUUCGAUGCAACGCGAAGAACCUUACCUGGUCUUGACAUCCACAGAACUUUCCAGAGAUGGAUUGGUGCCUUCGGGAACUGUGAGACAGGUGCUGCAUGGCUGUCGUCAGCUCGUGUUGUGAAAUGUUGGGUUAAGUCCCGCAACGAGCGCAACCCUUAUCCUUUGUUGCCAGCGGUUAGGCCGGGAACUCAAAGGAGACUGCCAGUGAUAAACUGGAGGAAGGUGGGGAUGACGUCAAGUCAUCAUGGCCCUUACGACCAGGGCUACACACGUGCUACAAUGGCAUAUACAAAGAGAAGCGACCUCGCGAGAGCAAGCGGACCUCAUAAAGUAUGUCGUAGUCCGGAUUGGAGUCUGCAACUCGACUCCAUGAAGUCGGAAUCGCUAGUAAUCGUAGAUCAGAAUGCUACGGUGAAUACGUUCCCGGGCCUUGUACACACCGCCCGUCACACCAUGGGAGUGGGUUGCAAAAGAAGUAGGUAGCUUAACCUUCGGGAGGGCGCUUACCACUUUGUGAUUCAUGACUGGGGUGAAGUCGUAACAAGGUAACCGUAGGGGAACCUGCGGUUGGAUCACCUCCUUACCUUAAAGAA